GAGUUUGAUCAUGGCUCAGAUUGAACGCUGGCGGCAUGCCUUACACAUGCAAGUCGAACGGCAGCACGGGAGCUUGCUCCUGGUGGCGAGUGGCGAACGGGUGAGUAAUGCAUCGGAACGUAUCCUGGAGUGGGGGAUAACGUAGCGAAAGUUACGCUAAUACCGCAUAUUCUGUGAGCAGGAAAGCGGGGGACCUUCGGGCCUCGCGCUCUUGGAGCGGCCGAUGUCGGAUUAGCUAGUUGGUGAGGUAAAGGCGUCACCAAGGCGACGAUCCCGUAGCAGGUCUGAGAGGAUGAUCUGCCACACUGGAACUGAGACACGGUCCAGACUCCUACGGGAGGCGAGCAGUGGGGAAUUUUGGACAAUGGGGGCAACCCUGAUCCAGCCAUGCCGCGUGAGUGAAGAAGGCCUCGGUUGUAAGACUCUUUCGUCGAGGGAAGAAAGUUA
RNAcentral lists this ribosomal RNA (447 nucleotides) under bacterium enrichment culture clone ALO1_GLFRUDD03GNJNZ. RNAcentral describes it as "bacterial SSU rRNA". It matches the Rfam family "Bacterial small subunit ribosomal RNA", at positions 9 to 454 of the family's 1533-position model. The record is from RNAcentral.